AUACAAAAUAUGAGUAACUGUAUUCCGUUACAGUUACCGUUUAAAAAGGUGGUAUUCAGAAUACAGUUACUUUGUUGAAAUAAAUGGAAUACACGGCGGUACUUUCCUGUUUCAUAUUGUCGCGGGUCAGGAUUGUUUGGGUUUGUUUGACAGCUACGUUCUGUUGUUCCAGGCGGCAGCGUUACGGUUGCCAUGGUUACAGGGUGACGCGCUCUCUCUCUGCGUGUUUCCUGGGUGAGAGAGCGCUUUUUUGUUGUUGUUGUUGUGCUAAGCUAAAAGGCAGAAUGCUACAGGCAUAGCUCUAAAGCAUGUAGCCUCAUGGGCAGUGUAGUCCGUGCUGCAGCGAGAAUGGACUGCCAUACACGUGAUGUGUCUGUGAGCGAGGGAGGGAGAGAAAGGAAAAGUCCGAGCUGUCACGGAGCAAAAACGGGAGCUGGAAGCAUGUAAAUAUAAUAAUAACCACAGCAACCAAGAAGAGUGCCUGAGGAGCCCAGCUAAGGACAAGAAGUGUGAGGAAAGAUAAGUACCAGUCCCCAGUAUUUCAUGUAAUUAAUACAACUAAGUUGAAGUUUUACACAGCAACAAUCAAGUUUGUUCCAGUUUGCUAAUUACCUACUGAUAAUCAAAGUAGUGCCUACUGUUGUACAGACAGAAAAAAGCCAGUCAUAAAAUGAUGCUGGAACACUAAACCAAGAAUUUAUCUGAUGUUGUGAAUAUUAACUAAAAGGACUAACACAAAUUAUUUUCACCCAAUGACAAAGACAGGCAAAAUGCAGAUCACUGUUAUUCUAAAGUUUAUAGUGUUUGCUGAAAGACUAUGUGACACUGGUUAGCCUACAAGGACUUUUAGAAAGAAAAUGCAUUUUUGUUCACUGGUGAUAUGUUAUCAGUAUCAUUAAGACUAUGCUGAUGACCUUUUACAUACAAAAAUAUUCAAUAAGAACUGGUUUUAAUCCAUCAUUCAUUGAAACUAUGGUCAUUUCAUCUCAUAACUGAUUGAGUUAUGAGAUUCCUUUCCUGAAAAUUUAGGUCUAAGAAAAAUAGCCUUUAGUCUUUAAGUCAUGGCUGUACUUGCCUAUACAGGUCCUUCUCAAAAAAUCAGCAUAUUGUGAUAAAGUUCAUUAUUUUCUGCAAUGUACAUUAGACUUUCAUAUAUUCUAGAUCC
Oreochromis aureus is the source of this 1165-nucleotide long non-coding RNA. The record is from Ensembl. Lineage: Eukaryota; Metazoa; Chordata; Actinopteri; Cichliformes; Cichlidae.